Molecule: ribosomal RNA, 257 nt
Filed under: uncultured bacterium
Lineage: Bacteria
Description: partial 16S ribosomal RNA
Rfam family: Bacterial small subunit ribosomal RNA
Source: RNAcentral
UACGGGGGGGGGUAAGCGUUGUUCGGAAUUACUGGGCGUAAAGGGCGCGUAGGCGGUCGUGACAAGUCACUUGUGAAAUCCCCGGGCUCAACCCGGGAACUGCGUCCGAUACUGGGAGGCUUGAAUCCGGGAGAGGGAUGUGGAAUUCCAGGUGUAGCGGUGAAAUGCGUAGAUAUCUGGAGGAACACCGGUGGCGAAGGCGGCGAUCCUGGACCGGUAUUGACGCUGAGGCGCGAAAGCCAGGGGAGCAAAGCGGG